CUGGAUUCCUUGUGAAGUUGAAGUUCCACCAUCUGUCACAAGAGGGAACUGUAGCACUGGCCCAGGAGCUGCUGCUCUUCAUCUUGCCUUUUCUAACUGAAAAAAGCACUUGUUUUGAAGUAUCUCAUCAUACAUACAGAAACACAAGAACCUGGAAACAGAGAGUACAAACUGACUGAGGCACAGGAGAUGGAAGAGAGAGGACCUGGGAAAUUAAGAACAAGCUGGAUCCCUGUCAUGCUAUAAAUAGAUGGAUGCACAUUAAUAUUACAGAAAGAAACACACAAACUUACCCUACAGUGUUUUAUAGCUGUUACGAGACCAUGAAGCAACUUCUGCCCUUGUCUCAUUGCCCCUUUUAGAAGAAAUGACCCCUCUUUAUUCAGCUUUCUUUAAAAUAGACAUGCCGCUAGGGGAAUAGGAAGAGGUAACCUUGAAUACCUUGAACUCCUGCCUUCUAAACAAUUGAAUGCAUAUAGCCAAAAACUGGCAUCAGUGACUAAGGCAGCUGCAGCACAUUCCAAAUAUUGCUCUAUUUAAAGCAUCCUAAAGCUCACAAGAACAACUGCAGAGACAAACCCUAAAACCUGUCAAUAAAUCCAGCAGAGAGAAGAAUGGCAGAACCAGCAGAAAUCCCGCUUUCACGUCUUGUUGUACCUAUACUCCUUGCAGUUGGCUGGAUAGUGGGUUGUGCAUUAAUGGUUUACAUUGUCUUCUCUUGAUAGAAGAAAGAAGAAUUUACAAUGAUGUUGAUUAAAAGAACCUGGACAUUAAAUUCCAGAACUUGGAACUGACAUUUCUAACCACUAAAAUAUGUAUAA
Non-coding RNA from Struthio camelus australis, 821 nucleotides. NCBI's taxonomy places the organism in Eukaryota, Metazoa, Chordata, Aves, Struthioniformes, Struthionidae. The record is from RefSeq and is a predicted model, not a curated record.